This 435-nucleotide ribosomal RNA is filed under the name uncultured bacterium. RNAcentral describes it as "partial 16S ribosomal RNA". It matches the Rfam family "Bacterial small subunit ribosomal RNA", at positions 29 to 507 of the family's 1533-position model. The record is from RNAcentral.
AGCGAACGCUGGCGGCAGGCUUAACACAUGCAAGUCGAACGGGCAUCUUCGGAUGUCAGCGGCAGACGGGUGAGUAACACGUGGGAACGUACCCUUCGGUUCGGAACAACUCUGGGAAACUGGAGCUAAUACCGGAUACGCCCUUAUGGGGAAAGGUUUACUGCCGAAGGAUCGGCCCGCGUCUGAUUAGCUAGUUGGUGGGGUAACGGCCUACCAAGGCGACGAUCAGUAGCUGGUCUGAGAGGAUGAUCAGACACACUGGGACUGAGACACGGCCCAGACUCCUACGGGAGGCAGCAGUGGGGAAUAUUGGACAAUGGGCGCAAGCCUGAUCCAGCCAUGCCGCGUGAGUGAUGAAGGCCUUAGGGUUGUAAAGCUCUUUUGUCCGGGACGAUAAUGACGGUACCGGAAGAAUAAGCCCCGGCUAACUUCGUG